Molecule: long non-coding RNA, 501 nt
Organism: Oncorhynchus tshawytscha (Chinook salmon)
Lineage: Eukaryota; Metazoa; Chordata; Actinopteri; Salmoniformes; Salmonidae
Source: Ensembl
GUGUGUGCAUGCGUGCGUGUGUGUGUGUGCCUGCGUGCGUGUGCGUAAAUAUCAGUAAAAAUGACCUCUCUACCCCCCCAUAACGGAGGGGCGGAGGUGGAUGAGAGAGAGGAGGGGGAGGAGAGAGACAUAACACCAGGCAGUAGGGGGGGGUGAGAGAGGAGGGGGAGGAGAGAGACGUAACACCAGGCGGUAGGUGGAUGAGAGAGGAGGGGGAGGAGAGAGAAGACGGGGAGGAGAGAGACAUAACACCAGGCAGUAGGGGGUGAGAGAGAGGAGGGGGAGGAGAGAGACGAGGGGGAGGAGAGAGAGGAGGGGGAGGAGAGAGACAUAAGACCAGGCAGUAGGGAGGUGAGAGAGAGGAGGGAGAGGAGAGAGACAUAGGACCAGGCAGUAGGGAGGUGAGAGAGAGGAGGGAGAGGAGAGAGACAUAAGACCAGGCAGUAGGGAGGUGAGAGAGAGGAGGGGGAGGAGAGAGACAUAACACCAGGCAGUAGGGGG